UGGGUAAUAUUGCACAAUGGGGGAAACCCUGAUGCAGCGACGCCGCGUGAACGAAGAAGGUAUUCGUAUCGUAAAGUUCUGUCCUAUGGGAAGAUAAUGACAGUACCAUAGAAGAAAGCUCCGGCUAAAUACGUGCCAGCAGCCGCGGUAAUACGUAUGGAGCGAGCGUUGUCCGGAAUUAUUGGGCGUAAAGGGUACGCAGGCGGUUUAAUAAGUCGAAUGUUAAAGAUCGGGGCUCAACCCCGCAAAGCAUUGGAAACUGAUAAACUUGAGUAGUGGAGAGGAAAGUGGAAUUCCUAGUGUAGUGGUGAAAUACGUAGAUAUUAGGAGGAAUACCAGUAGCGAAGGAGACUUUCUGGACACAAACUGACGCUGAGGUACGAAAGCGUGGGGAGCAAACAGG
RNAcentral lists this ribosomal RNA (403 nucleotides) under bacterium. RNAcentral describes it as "partial 16S ribosomal RNA". It matches the Rfam family "Bacterial small subunit ribosomal RNA", at positions 355 to 776 of the family's 1533-position model. The record is from RNAcentral.